GACUGAGGAGCAGUUGAUAAGAGUAAGAUUUAUGAGCUUUCCAGUGCUAAGAUUAGAUCUGAAAGGUAAAACUGCCGAAGUGAAAAUUUUAAUGGAGAAAGAUUUUUGCUGGGUAUAUGAAUAAGAUUCAUAUAACUGUCAUUGAGGUAUUCAAUGUUGUGCUUUCUG
This 168-nucleotide non-coding RNA is filed under the name uncultured Fusobacterium sp. RNAcentral describes it as "Lysine riboswitch". It matches the Rfam family "Lysine riboswitch aptamer", at positions 11 to 172 of the family's 182-position model. Rfam says of the family: Riboswitches are metabolite binding domains within certain messenger RNAs that serve as precision sensors for their corresponding targets. Allosteric rearrangement of mRNA structure is mediated by ligand binding, and this results in modulation of gene expression. The record is from RNAcentral. Lineage: Bacteria; Fusobacteriati; Fusobacteriota; Fusobacteriia; Fusobacteriales; Fusobacteriaceae.